GUACACGCUGUGACUAGCAUAUCAAUAAGCGGAGGAAAAGAAACUAACAAGGAUUCCCCUAGUAACGGCGAGUGAAGCGGGAAGAGCUCAAAUUUGAAAUCUUAAAGGGUUUCCCUUUACGAAUUGUAGCUUAAAGAAGUGUUUUCUGUUGAGGUUUUGGUAAAAGUUCUUUGGAAUAGGACAUCAUAGAGGGUGAGAAUCCCGUAUUUGACCUUUACUUUCAACUUUGUGAUACACUUUCAAAGAGUCGGAUUGUUUGGGAAUGCAGUCCAAAAUGGGUGGUAAAUUUCAUCUAAAGCUAAAUAUUGGCGAGAGACCGAUAGCGAACAAGUACCGUGAGGGAAAGAUGAAAAGAACUUUGAAAAGAGAGUUAAACAGUACGUGAAAUUGUCAAAAGGGAAGCGUUUGACACCAGUGUUGUUUUUCUGAAAAUCAAUUAAAGAACUGUUUAUGCUAAGCUGUUUAGACUUUAUCAGCUAACUGUUUAGUUUUGAGCUUUUCUUUAAUGCACUUUUCAGUUAACAAGUCAACAUCAAUUUCUUUUGCUGUAAAAAGCUUGAGGAAGGUGGCUUGAGAUUCGUCUUAAGUGUUUAUAGCCUCUUGCCUAUGCAGUCGGAGAGAUUGAGGUCUGCAGCGUAGAUCCUUCGGGGCUAAAUGCAUUUGUGCUAAGUUAUAACAUUUUAUAGACAACUUGUUGACUAUGAUUUGUCUUGUAGCUUACUCGCUUAUGUUAUUUUACCUACGCUUAGGAUGUUGACGCGCGUGUGUGCGUG
RNAcentral lists this ribosomal RNA (773 nucleotides) under uncultured Neocallimastigales. RNAcentral describes it as "partial large subunit ribosomal RNA". It matches the Rfam family "Eukaryotic large subunit ribosomal RNA", at positions 22 to 639 of the family's 3401-position model. Lineage: Eukaryota; Fungi; Neocallimastigomycota; Neocallimastigomycetes; Neocallimastigales. The record is from RNAcentral.